AAUGAACGUUGGCGGCGUGGAUUAGGCAUGCAAGUCGAGCGAUAACCGUAGCAAUACGGGGACAGCGGCGAAAGGGAGAGUAACGCGUGGAUAAUCUACCCUCGGGACUGGGAUAGCCGCGGGAAACUGCGGGUAAUACCGGAUAAUGUCUUCGGACCAAAGGUGCGAUUCCGCCCGGGGAUGAGUCCGCGUCCUAUUCGCUAGUUGGUGGGGUAAUGGCCUACCAAGGCGAAGAUGGGUACGGGGUGUGAGAGCAUGCCCCCGCCCACUGGGACUGAGACACUGCCCAGACACCUACGGGUGGCUGCAGUCGAGAAUCUUCGGCAAUGGGCGCAAGCCUGACCGAGCGACGCCGCGUGCGGGAUGAAGGCCUUCGGGUUGUAAACCGCUGUCGGAGGGGAGGAAAUGCACGGGGGUUCUCCCUCGUGUUUGACCUAGCCUCAGAGGAAGGACGGGCUAAGUUCGUGCCAGCCGCCGCAGUAA
This 483-nucleotide ribosomal RNA is filed under the name uncultured bacterium. RNAcentral's name for it is "partial 16S ribosomal RNA". It matches the Rfam family "Bacterial small subunit ribosomal RNA", at positions 28 to 523 of the family's 1533-position model. The record is from RNAcentral.